This 495-nucleotide ribosomal RNA is filed under the name uncultured bacterium. RNAcentral's name for it is "partial 16S ribosomal RNA". It matches the Rfam family "Bacterial small subunit ribosomal RNA", at positions 28 to 507 of the family's 1533-position model. The record is from RNAcentral.
GAUGAACGCUGGCGGCGUGCCUAAUACAUGCAAGUAGAACGCUGAAGGAGGAGCUUGCUCUUCUGGAUGAGUUGCGAACGGGUGAGUAACGCGUAGGUAACCUGCCCGGUAGCGGGGGAUAACUAUUGGAAACGAUAGCUAAUACCGCAUGACAACAGUUAUUGCAUGAUAACUGUUUAAAAGGGGCAACUGCUCCACUACCAGAUGGACCUGCGUUGUAUUAGCUAGUUGGUGAGGUAACGGCUCACCAAGGCGACGGUACAUAGCCGACCUGAGAGGGUGGACGGCCACACUGGGACUGGGACACGGCCCAAGAUCCUACGGGGAGCAGCAGGAGGGGAACAUCGGCAAUGGGCGGAAGUCUGACCGAGCAACGCCGCGUGAGUGGAGGAAGGUUUCGGGUCGUAAAGCUCGGUUGUAAGAGAAAGACGAGUGUGAGAGUGGAAAGUUCACGCUGUGACGGUAUCUUACCAGAAAGGGACGGCUAACUACGUG